This 506-nucleotide ribosomal RNA is filed under the name uncultured bacterium. Its description in RNAcentral is "partial 16S ribosomal RNA". It matches the Rfam family "Bacterial small subunit ribosomal RNA", at positions 30 to 523 of the family's 1533-position model. The record is from RNAcentral.
AUUGAACGCUGGCGGCAGGCUUAACACAUGCAAGUCGAGCGGUAACAGAGAGAAGCUUGCUUCUCUGCUGACGAGCGGCGGACGGGUGAGUAAUGCCUAGGAAUCUGCCUAGUAGUGGGGGAUAACUUGCCGAAAGGUAAGCUAAUACCGCAUACGUCCUACGGGAGAAAGGAGGGGACCUUCGGGCCUUUCGCUAUUAGAUGAGCCUAGGUCGGAUUAGUUAGUUGGUGAGGUAAUGGCUCACCAAGACCGCGAUCCGUAACUGGUCUGAGGGGAUGAUCAGGCACACUGGAACUGAGACACGGUCCAGACUCCUACGGGAGGCAGCAGUGGGGAAUAUUGGACAAUGGGGGGAACCCUGAUCCAGCCAUGCCGCGUGUGGGAAGAAGGUCUUAGGAUUGUAAAGCACUUUAAGUUGGGAGGAAGAGCAGUUAACUAAUAUUUGACUGUUUUGACGUUACCGACAGAAUAAGCACCGGCUAACUUCGUGCCAGCAGCCGCCGUAA